This 114-nucleotide ribosomal RNA is filed under the name uncultured bacterium. Its description in RNAcentral is "partial 16S ribosomal RNA". It matches the Rfam family "Bacterial small subunit ribosomal RNA", at positions 381 to 509 of the family's 1533-position model. The record is from RNAcentral.
GCCUUACCCAGCAACGCCGCGUGAGGGAAGAAGGUUUUCGGAUUGUAAACCUCUGUCCUGGGGGACGAAGGAAGUGACGGUACCCCGGGAGGAAGCCCCGGCUAACUACGUGCC